Hipposideros armiger (great roundleaf bat) is the source of this 823-nucleotide long non-coding RNA. RefSeq lists it as uncharacterized. NCBI's taxonomy places the organism in Eukaryota, Metazoa, Chordata, Mammalia, Chiroptera, Hipposideridae. The record is from RefSeq and is a predicted model, not a curated record. The transcript has 3 exons.
GGGAAUUAGACAACAAAGAUGAGGUUUCAAAAAUGAGAAGGGACAAUGCUGGGCGUGACAUGUGAGUAGAUGGACAAAGAUAAGAAACAGCCAGAGGACCUUCACAAGAGCAGACCCAUCAACAUAAAUGACAAGGACGAGGGAUGGCAAGAAGGAUGCAGCUGUCCCAGAGGGAGCGUCAGUGACAAAAGCACUUCACUUUAAAGGGAUUCUUGGAGGUGGCUUCAUGACUUUGAAACUGCAAAGGAUAAAAUGCUGGAAGCUGACCCAAACUUAGAAAGGAAUAUGACAGUUCACCAAAGGCAUGAAAAAGACACUCACUGUGCCUGACUUCAUAAGUUACGUCACGACGAGGGAAAACGGUGCAGUGGUGUGGAGACCGACCGGUAAGAGCGCCAAAGAGAGCCCGCCUGCUGUCUAUUUCGGCUGACCUGUGCCUUCCAGAGUGCCAGACUUCUACUGGUUCUCAAUAAAUAUCUGCUCCCUGACUGAGGUUCACCCAAAGCUCCUACCAGAUUCAGAAAGAAAGUAUCCAUUGGCCAUUGUGUCACCCGGUAAACAGCAAUGGAGAUGCUGAAGGUAGCAUGCACAGUUCCACAUCUGGAGUUCAAGUCCUAAGAUCCCAUUAAAGCCGACAGAUACCUACAGCACGGGGCGCCCAGGGCUCAAGCUAAUGUUCUUUCAAAACACAUUUAUGAACAAUUCACUACUUCAGGAAGUGAUGGCUACCACUUCUACAGCAAUGUGCUUCCAAGCCCAUCAGAGUGUUUCUGGAACCUAAGCUUUAACAUAUCAGUACCUCUUCAAAGGGAGCUGUGAGAAA